This 517-nucleotide ribosomal RNA is filed under the name Maribacter sp. RNAcentral's name for it is "bacterial SSU rRNA". It matches the Rfam family "Bacterial small subunit ribosomal RNA", at positions 868 to 1387 of the family's 1533-position model. The record is from RNAcentral. Lineage: Bacteria; Pseudomonadati; Bacteroidota; Flavobacteriia; Flavobacteriales; Flavobacteriaceae.
CCCACCUGGGGAGUACGUUCGCAAGAAUGAAACUCAAAGGAAUUGACGGGGGCCCGCACAAGCGGUGGAGCAUGUGGUUUAAUUCGAUGAUACGCGAGGAACCUUACCAGGGCUUAAAUGCAUAUUGACAGGGUCAGAGAUGACUUUUCCUUCGGGCAAUUUGCAAGGUGCUGCAUGGUUGUCGUCAGCUCGUGCCGUGAGGUGUCAGGUUAAGUCCUAUAACGAGCGCAACCCCUACCGUUAGUUGCCAGCAUGUCAUGAUGGGGACUCUAACGGGACUGCCGGUGCAAACCGUGAGGAAGGUGGGGAUGACGUCAAAUCAUCACGGCCCUUACGUCCUGGGCCACACACGUGCUACAAUGGCAGGUACAGAGAGCAGCCACGUCGCAAGGCGGAGCGAAUCUAUAAAACCUGUCACAGUUCGGAUCGGGGUCUGCAACUCGACCCCGUGAAGCUGGAAUCGCUAGUAAUCGGAUAUCAGCCAUGAUCCGGUGAAUACGUUCCCGGGCCUUGCACA